CUUAAAAAAAAUCAAAGAAAAUUUUUUAUUCACUUUUGUUUCAAAAAGUCCCUCUCGUCACAAUUUUUCAGAUAGAUAUGCGUAAAUCCCCCAGUUUUAAACCGUGGCAUAUAAAUCACGUCCGAAUUUGUUGUUUCUCAGACUAAGUUUGCAUCCAGCUUGACUGUUGUCUACAAGAUGAAGGCCCUAGUAAAAAUUCUGUCUGUAAUACUUCUUGUGAACAUCAUUUUGGGUGUUGUAAAUGCUAUUCCGGUCGAUGAAAACUACGAAACGGAAGCUUUGAUACGAAGACUGAGACCCAAAAGAGGAGAAAAAACUUGUCACAUUCUUAACAGAUCGGGAAAGCCAAUCACAGAAUCUCAGUGCGAUUUAGUUUGCUGGGAACAGAGUUACGAAGUUGGAAGAUGUAAGGGUAAUGCUUGUUAUUGCAGCCCCACAUAAUGUAUUAGAGUUAGUCUUAGAAAUAAAUUGUAAAUUAAGUUGAAGGAGUUUAAUAAACAAUAAUUAUAUAAA
This is a long non-coding RNA of Zophobas morio, 513 nucleotides long. RefSeq lists it as uncharacterized. The record is from RefSeq and is a predicted model, not a curated record. The transcript has 2 exons. NCBI's taxonomy places the organism in Eukaryota, Metazoa, Arthropoda, Insecta, Coleoptera, Tenebrionidae.